UUGAAGGCUGAAUUAUUAGGAUGAUUUGGUAAAUUACAGUGAAACCUUUGCUACUCGAUGUAUGUGUAUGCAUGAUAUGUGUAUGUGUGAUUUUAGAUUGUAAUGUAUCACAAUUUCGUGGCAUGAAAAUUGACAUUUUUAGACUUACCCUGUGGUGAGAUUUUUGCAUGAUUUUUUUUUUGGGGGUUUGUGGGGUUUUUUUAGAGAUUUAUCUGUGAAAGCAUUGUUAUAUGAUUUUUUUUAAUGUGGGUUUUGAUUGUUUGGUUAUAAUUUUGGGUAUCUGUUUUGGUUUUUUGAAUCGGUUUUUGUGUAAGUCAAAGUUUUGUGGAUGAUCGUUGGUUCUGAACGAAUCGAGUUACAUAUAUGGCUUUGCUUCCCAUCUACUGAAAAGGUUACCCUUCUUCUCUCUACAAAUUCCCUUCUAACUGUCCGCACUUUUACAAAACCAAAAACCAAUUUUAUAAAUUUUGAUCACAUUUUUCUUCAGAUUACAGAGAGAGAAAGGGUUGUAUAUUUUUUCUAUAUUCAGAGAGAGAGGAUUUGAGGUGGGUGGAGUGAUGAGUGUUUAGGAUUUUUUAUGGGAGGGAUGAGAAAAGAGUAAAAACGAUCAGGAAAAUCGAAUUCUUUCUCUGAAAGUUCAUCAACACUUUGUAAGAACUCCAAUUCUUUCUCUCAUAUUUCAUCUGGUUCUGUUAAUUUUUGCAAAUUUUCAGAUUAUGGGUCGUUCCCAAUUUCCAUUUUUUCUUUGGGGUUUAUGUUGUUUUGAUGGAAAAAGGUCGUAUUAGCAAAUAGAUGAUAUUUCAAAAUUACGGUCGUCGGAUUCACUUAUUUUUGUUCAUCUCUAAUUUUCUGGAUUUUUCCAUGUACGUUACAGAAUUUACUGACAUUUGAUAAAUGUUAAGCGAAGUUCGUCAAUGAAUCUCUCAAGGUGCUCGAAGCUGAUAUUCAGUUCGCCAACACUUUAUGUCCAUGAAUUUUACGGACUUCCUAUGUAAUCCUUGCCUCAGAAAGCAAUCUCGAUGUCGUUGCUGGUGGAGGAACGCCGUCAUAUGAGCCCCGGAGCACGCUGCUGCUGUACAAGAGAAACAAAGAUUGGAGGGGCUGUGCCGCCGUUCAGUUACUCUUGGGCACUUGAGGAGGUGUGAUCAUAUGCCUCACUUCGGGAAUUGAUAUUAGGAGGUGUUAAAUGGACCGUUGGAAUUGAGUUUCGAGUCUCUGAGGGACAUAAUGAGAUGGGUUAUUGAUGAAAGGGUUUGGAGGAGAAGGUGGACAAGAAACCAGUGCAUUGGAUGCACAAUAUCAGUGAUGAACACUUUUCCUUAUCUUUGUUUAGAAAAAAUUUGAAAGAGCCACUGGUUUUGAACGUGCUUAAAUGCAAGAUUAUUUGCAAAAUUUUGUUUAAAUUUUUUAAUGUUUAGAUUUUUAUUCCAUAAAAAUUGUGAGAGGAAAUAUAUAAUGAUAGACAAAAAACUAUGUUAAACAAGUUUGGAUGGUUUAAAUUAUAGAAUUAUUUUGGUUGAUGGUAGAGACGGUUUCAAAUCCCGCGGCAGAGCGCGGGCAUUCCUGCUAGUAUUCUCUAAAUCUCAUUGAUAUAAAACUUGUACAAUCACAACAAUCUAAUCAUAUGUAAAUCUUUACCUUAAUAUUUCAGAAAUCGUUCUCCAAUCAUCAAAUAGGCUUCAAAGCCCUCAAAUCGUGCAAGAACAAGCUUGAAAUUGAAAAUUUGACUCUAAUUAGCCAUAAACCCCAAUUUGAACGAAUUAUUCAAAUUUAAGUAAUAAUCCUCAAAAUUUACCUUCAAACGUUGAGUUCAAUUCACUGAGCAUGUAAACAAAAACAGUUCAUCAAUUAAAUUCCCAGUUCGAAAAAUGCUACGAACUCGUGGUCUCACCUACUUUCAACCUAUCACCUCAAAAUAAUCAUUGCUCUCAUGUAAAAUUAUAACUCAUUUAAAAUGAAUCAUAAAUUGUAAAAAUCGAAGACACUUCGAAAUUCAUUAUAAGUACUUUAAAAAUUUAUGGUCUCACACACAGAACUUUGCUUAAGAUUCACUGGGAGCGGACAAGCAAUCCAAUCUGAGAAAGUCACCCCAGACUACAAUGCGCAUAUUGAAGAUUUCAACAGGGCAAAUCAUGGAACAAGUCUUUUUUUUGUUGUCUUAUUUUUUGCAAGUUAUCUCAAGAGCCAGGCCACUAUCUCAAAUCUGAUAAAUGCACGGGUAAGCUCGGAGCAAAGGAUUCCUCAUGAAAGUGUAACCAGCGAGAGGUUUUCAGACAGUCAAAUCGUUUCGUUCUCUCACCAUUGCAGUACAGUAAACUUUUCUUCGCUGAUAAUUUGGAGGGGAUGCCUGUUGUUCUAUAAGCGGGGAUUCCUCCUUUUUGAGGAAGUAUUUCUGUUUCUCAUCUCUUUGGAGACGGCAUCAUCUCCCUGGAACCUACGAGCUUGGUUUGGGUUCCGACGUCAAUCCGCCAAUUCCAGCGACGUCCAGUUGGUCUCAAACCAUUCUCCAUAAUCUAAGUGUUUGAGUAGCAUAGAUUGUUGAGGAAUUCAACAAAAAGUUUUCCAGAUAAAGCCCGCUUUCUUGUUUCCAAGUAGCCUAUUGGUGCUGUAUUGGCCGCUCGGUAAUCUAAAUCCUGGUCAAGGAGAGGAAUUAUCCUACAAAUGCUAAGAGAUGAUAUAAUCAUUACAAGGAACUCAAUCCAACAACACUUUUAUUACUCUUAAAUGCAUCCUGUGAACCUUGAGCUGAAGUAUGCUGGAUUUAGGUUGGUUUAAAGAGCAUUUUGUGAUUUGUUUGGCACUGAGAUUUAAUCUAGUUGGUAGGCCCUUGCAUUGGCUUUUUGUUGGUAUUGUUAAACCGUGUGGAGAUACUGAAAAAGUAAAGGAAAUUAGAUGAUGGCAAUGAAAGUGAAUGUGUGUCAGAGGCAGGAGAUAUUCGGGAUCGGGGCUCCUCACAGAAACAGGCACAGUGAGAGUGGCAGCAUCCACUUGUUUCCUUGAGAGGGCAUUCAGCUCCAAUCCUAUGGGUUCUGGGGUCGUGACCUUGCUGCAUCCAAAACAAUUUCGCCUGUUUCUCCCUUGCUUGAGGAAAUCAUAUCUCCUAUUUCCAGUGAUGCGAUCAUACAUGAGGACAAAAAGAAAGUGACUUUUAGGACAAUACGAUAAGGUUGCCAAAAUUCUUGGAGUACAGUUCAUGCAUGGUUCAUUUAGUUGUGUUUGGCAGUCUCCAGGAUCUUAACGAGAUAUUUGCCGCAAAAGUUGUUUGGUCCUGGAGUUGUUAAUGAACAAGCAACCAAACCAUUGUCUACCUUGAUCUUCCUUUUAAUAUGGUCUUAACGAGAUAUCUGCCGCAAAAGUUUUUUGGUCCUGGAGUUGUUUAUGAACAAGCAACCAAACCAUUGUCUACCUUGAUCUUCCUUCUAAUAUGGUUGGUUCUUUCUUGAUGGGGUGGUUGGGUGUUGUUUUCGAAGGAGAUAUAUCCUAUACGUCCGAUUAUUUGCCAUUGGAUUGUCAGCCGGUUACAUAGGAAGCCUUACAACUUUCAGCUGUUGGAAGCAGAAAAUGCUUGAACUCAGUGCUGAAGGCCAUUGGAUGUUCGCUCUGCUCGGUUUUCUAAUAGCUAUGCCAAGCAUGAUGUUUCAAUUUCAUUGAGUCUAGCUGGUUUCAGCUUUGAUGCCUAUUGUCACAUUCCA
Molecule: non-coding RNA, 3692 nt
Organism: Malus domestica (apple)
Lineage: Eukaryota; Viridiplantae; Streptophyta; Magnoliopsida; Rosales; Rosaceae
Source: RefSeq, a predicted model, not a curated record